RNAcentral lists this long non-coding RNA (618 nucleotides) under Oncorhynchus kisutch (coho salmon). RNAcentral's name for it is "lncRNA (ENSOKIG00005042405.1)". Lineage: Eukaryota; Metazoa; Chordata; Actinopteri; Salmoniformes; Salmonidae. The record is from RNAcentral.
GGGCAUUCUACUGAAGUACUACCCUUGAAUAUGUUGUUCAGUACUGUAGGAAUGGUUAAAGGGUCAAUCUGCCAUUGGUUCAUAUAUUUUCGGGACUUUUCAAUUAGAUGUAUUGAAUUCUCCAUGUUGUCUAUAUUAAAGUUCCCCUCAUCUAGUAUAACAGGCUUUUAAAAUUCAAUAUUGAAGCAUAUGUUCUACUUAAAAUAUCAAAGGGAGUUUACUACUCAUUUUGUUGUUCUCGUUCACACAGGAGAGAGACAUGACUAUGGUGGAUCCUCUGGGGAGCCUCAACAACAUCCUGAUGCUGACGAGGCAGAGAAGAGUCUCUCCAGAUCAGAACACCAGAUGGACAACGCUAGCCCUUCCUCCCUCCCGGAGUCCCUGUGUCGUGCCUCUCCUGGUAGCACCUUAUUGCUGGGUAUGAAGAGGUUGUCUGUGCAGCUGGUGGACUGCAGGAAAACAACAGGGCUGAGUGGAACUGUGAGAGGAGGAGAAGAGAAGAAAGGAUCAGAUUUGACACAUCAAAGUAAGUGCUGUAGUUUAGUUUGAACAAAUACAAUAGAUCUGCCCACUGGUAUCUGUUACCAGGACAACCAGCAGAGUUCUGUUAGUUGACAG